AAAUCUUUCACAAGCUCAAAAAUGGUUCCGGUUGGAAGAAAAACAUGGCCGCCAGGGGGCAGGGCAGUUUUCCUAUUAUGGCUAUAGUAAAACUUGUUCACACUGUAAAAGUCAAAUUUAUGGUCCAAUCUUCAUGAAACUUAGUCAGAACAUUUGUUCUAAUGAUAUCUUGGACGAAAUCAAUUAUGGUUCCAAUUGGUUGAAAAACAUGGCUGCCAGGUGGCGGGCCAGUUUUCCUUACAUGGCUAUAGUAAAACCUUGUUAUAACGCUAAAAGUCACAUUUGUGGUCCAAUGUUUAUGAAACUUGGUCAGAAUAUUUGUACUUAUGAUAUCUGGGCUCAGAUAGAAAAUGGUUUAGGUCCGUUUAAAACAUGGCCGCAAGGGGGCGUGGCAUUUUUCCUAAUAUGGCUAUUUAGUAAUGUUAACACUAGAAGUCGCAAUAAUUAUCCAAUCUUCAUGAAACUUGAUCAGAACAUUUAUUCUAACAAUAGCUCAGCUGAGUUUGAAAAUGGUUAAAAUACGUUCAAAAAUAUCGCCGCCCGGAAGGGGGGGGGGCAGUUGUCCUUAUAUGGCUUUAUUGAAAACUUGUUGACGCUAUAUUAGCCUCAUUUAUUGGCCAAUCUACAUGAAACUUGGUCAAAACAUUAUUUUGUCCCAAUGAAAUCUUAGCGAAGAUUGAAAAUGGGUCAUAUGAGCUUAAAAACUAGGUCACUAGAUCAAAUAUAAAAAAAAACUUGUUGAAAGUCACUUUUUUGGUCUAAUCUUCAUGAAUCAGCUUGCAUUUGUCCAGAAUAGUCUAGUACCUUUUGCUCUCAGGUGAGCGCCUUAGGGCCUAACAGCCCUCUUGUUUUAAAUGACUUGCAUCUUAUUGUUGUGUUAAGUAUCUUGCCUUUAAGUAUUUCCCAUAAGGUGUGUGGAUUUGCAUCUUUGUUAUCUUAAACUGUAUUGGUUAUUACCUGUUAUAUUUGUGUUUGAUAUUGUGUAUCUUUUCAAAAGCUAUUAUUUACUUUAAAAAAAAGAACAUUUUGAAUAACAUAAUUGAAAACUACAAUUACAUAAACAUAUGGCAUACAGUUAAUCAUAAUGAAAAAAAAUACACCUGGCACUCAAACACAAAACCAGCAAUAUUUUGGAGAUAAUAUUUUUUUAAAUAUGCGAGUCUAUUGCAACAUUAUCGAAACAUGCAACAUAAAACCAGGAUUUAUGACUGAUCACUCGAUAGUUGAACUUUAACUGCAUGAAAUACAACCUGAAAUAGCCGAAGGUACUUUAAAGAUUUCCAUUUCUUUUAUCUCUAAUAAUGGGUUAAGAACAAUAUUGAAAUCCUCUCCGACUAUCUAUGUUCGGACCGUAAACGUUCAUUAAUGUUAAUUGUGUUUCGUGUAUUUUUAUAUCUAUACUUGCUUGUCUGCCAAUCAUUAUUACGUUCAAGUAAUCCACUGUUAUUCCUGUAUGACUUUUACUCAGACAAGCGAUGCCUUGUUUAUUUGUAUGUUGUCCGCUAAGAUAAAUAUCUCCGUCCCAACCACUUUUUAAUGUUUUUGCUAAGGUAUGUUUUAGGUGACUUUCCUGUAUAAAAAAGACUUAUAAUACCUUUUUUGUUUAACCAUUUGAAACUUUUAGUGCAUUUAUCUUUGUUAUUUAGCCCUUGUACAUUUACAGUACAUAUGUUAAUACUCACACAAAAGAACGAAAAUUGCAUGAUACCAUUCUUGUUCCAAACAUUUUAAAAUCAUUUUGUAGAGCUAGAUUAUUAGUUAGUUCAUUAUGUCAAGUUAUAUUAAGCUUUGAUGUUAAAAACAAUUACUUUCCAUGUUCUACAGGUUGUUGAAACAUUGUAUUCAUUAAAUUGAUCUCAGCACUAA
Dreissena polymorpha is the source of this 1866-nucleotide long non-coding RNA. RefSeq lists it as uncharacterized. The record is from RefSeq and is a predicted model, not a curated record. Lineage: Eukaryota; Metazoa; Mollusca; Bivalvia; Myida; Dreissenidae. The transcript has 2 exons.